Molecule: long non-coding RNA, 1300 nt
Filed under: Anas platyrhynchos platyrhynchos (common mallard)
Lineage: Eukaryota; Metazoa; Chordata; Aves; Anseriformes; Anatidae
Description: lncRNA (ENSAPLG00000021014.1)
Source: RNAcentral
AAGAGAGAGCGAGGCAUAAAGAGAGGGAGAGCGAGGUUUCCGAGAAAAAGGAGAGGCGAAAAGAGCGAGGUUAGAGAUUUAAAAAAAAUAAUCAUAAUCAUAAUAAAAUAAUGAUUAAAAAAUAAUCGCCGCAAUAACAAGAGACCCACCGAUCGGCUGGGAAGCUCGCGGUAUCCGGCCGGAGGAGGUGGGGGGGGCGGGAAGGAAAGGAGAAAAGAGGGCUUUAAAAAACUGGAAGGCAAAAGCUGUUGGGGAGGAAGUGUAAGCCGAGAGGGAGGCUGGGGGAGGGGAGAGAGCGCCAUCUUUUCAUGUCACAGUCACAGAGACAGCGCUGGGCUCGGCCACAGCGUCUCGGUUUCUUUUUAACAGCGGAAAACGUGCGAUUAGCAGGCAGACAGGCGGGGACGGCCAGCCCUGCGCGCACACACACAGCCCGCAGCUCCGGCUCCGCGCCGUGUAAUCCCAGCGCUCAGCCCCGCUGCACCCCCUCAUUAAAAACCCGGAGAUUUCCUCCUCCUCCUCCUCCUCCUCCUCCUCUGCUCUCCGAGGAAAACAACGCCUGCCACGGCCCCAACCCGGGCAGCGCCGCCCGGGGGCCCCGCGCUCCGUGCCGCGCCGUGCCGUGCCCGACGGGCCGCCCGCUCCCCUGCCUCCCAGGGGGCCUCCCCCCGGGGGAGGGGGGGGGGGGCACCGGCUGCAGCCCCCCCAGCACCCUCUCAUCCCACUCCCUUUCUCCGGGCGCGGUCGGGGGGCGCCGCGGCUCCGGGCGCCGGGGAGCUCCGGGCUCCCCCGGGGGCCAGGCGGUACCGUGGCGGAGCCGGGCCCCGCCGCCCCCCGGGGCCGAUGAAGGGCGCUUUAUUCCGCAGCGCUCACAACCCCUCAUUGUGUCGGGCAGAAUCACCUGCCUCCUCCGGAGCUCAGGCGAUUCAUUUAAUGCGCUACACAGCGCGCUCCGUCCCGGCCCCUCCUCGGCUCGGGGCGAGCUCCGCGGUGCGCUCUCCACGGAGCGCGGAGGAGGGGCGCGGCACGGCUCGGCACGGCUCGGCACGGCUCAGCACGGCUUGGCACGGCUCGGCACGGCUGGCCGGCAUCCUCCGAGCACCGUCUCGGCCGGCGGCACCCCGGGGAAGCCUUUCCCCGGCCGGCAGCUCCGCUCGCAGCAUCACACGCGGCCGCCGCGCAGCCCCGCUCGGUGCCCGGGGAGGGGGAGAUGCAAAGGGGGGGGGGAGCCGUGGGGCGGGCGGGGGCCGUGCCGAGCCGGGCGAGGGGAUUUGCUGGGUCGUUGGCUGCGCCUGGGGAA